Molecule: unclassified non-coding RNA, 373 nt
Filed under: uncultured bacterium
Lineage: Bacteria
Description: contains 16S-23S intergenic spacer region
Source: RNAcentral
UCCGAUUUGUCACCGGCAGUCUCCCAUGAGUCCCCGACAUUACUCGCUGGCAACAUGGGACAGGGGUUGCGCUCGUUGCGGGACUUAACCCAACAUCUCACGACACGAGCUGACGAUAGCCAUGCACCACCUGUAUACCGACCACAAGGGGGCCGUAUCUCUACGGCUUUCCGGUAUAUGUCAAGCCCAGGUAAGGUUCCUCGCGUAUCAUCGAAUUAAACCACAUGCUCCUCCGCUUGUGCGGGCCCCCGUCAAUUCCUUUGAGUUUCAACCUUGCGGUCGUACUCCCCAGGUGGAUUACUUAACGCUUUCGCUUUGCCGCUGAACGGUGUAUCGCCAACAACUAGUAAUCAUCGUUUACUGCGUGGACUAC